UGGAUGCUGCAGGUUCCUCCCGACUGUGAGGCAUAAAUCUCAAGGGAACGGCAGCAGAAAGGUGAAAAACUGCUGGAAACACAGCGCAGGAUUCAGGAUUUAUUUGGAGUUUUUCUUCUACAUGUGAAUGACAAAAUGAUAGCAGCCUUCUUCCUGCCAAGGGUUAGCAAUUAGUAUGGCAAAAGGAAAAGGUAAUUUGAUGGUGAGUUUGGCAAAGAGCUCUUACGCAUGCCUUGAUGUUGCACUGCAACAAUAAUGUAUAAAAUCACCUUUGACAAGGCAUCGCACCCUGGCAAUCCUUCAGGAGAUUUUUUGCUUAAAUAAGAGCCAGGCAAGGGCUCCGCCACGGAGAAUGCUUGCUGCUUGGCCGUGACAGGCGAGGUCCCGCUUAAGCACGCUGCACAUUUUAAAAGUUUGUAAGCAUUCUUGUGACAGUAUAAAAAUGGUUGGAGGGCAUCAGAUGCUAGGAUAAUGAGGUUGGUAUAAUUAGCCUUGAUGGAUAGGUAACGAGAUAGAGAAGCAUGGAUGGGAAUUAAUAGAUUAAACAGCCAGAUUAACUACUACUGUUUAAAGAGUGACUCCUGACCCAGCCCUCCAGCUGCAAGUGAUCUGUCUCAGCUAGCUCUGCUAUAAAGCUGCAAGGCAGGGCAGCCCACCCCUUUCUCUUGUAGGUUGGUUGUGUCUUAUUGGAAGAAGGAAUGCUAAAGUCAUUACAUCCCCUUCCCUCCCGUUCCAAGGGGAGCCAGGCUGUGCUGCUAGAACGGUAAGGAAGCAGGGGCUCUCCCAGAGCUGCUGCGCUGCUCUGCUUCAGCGUUUCAUCCCGUCAACCCACACGUCCUCAUCUCCUGCUGCUGCAGGGAGCAGACUCGGACAGCAGCAGCAGGCAAAGAGGUGCAGAGCUGCUCCACGUCGGUCUGGCCAGCGCUCAUCCCUCCCAGCCAGCGUUUCAGUUCCCAAGCAGAGCUCGGUGCCACGGGUGUUAGCAGAGCUGUGUUCUGAAUAAGGAUUCCUGAGAUCAAAUGGCAUCAUAUGAGCAGUCGAGGCAGAGCUCACCCCAAAAACUGAAUCAACGUAGCUUAGGUGAAUUUGUCUUGCUUAGACACAGCUCUUUGUAGCCCUUACCGAGGAUAAGGAAAAUAUAGGAAGCCAUCCUUAUGGUAAUCCCUGGGUUAAUGGUAAGCAUUAACGAAGCGAUUCCUCCAGCCUGCAGAACCCAUAGCAACCAGUCAUUAAGGACACUCAGCGUGAGGAUCCAAGCUAAAGAAAGAAAGUUCCUUGAAACACUUGCACACGCACAUACCAAUCAGACAAGAAAAUGUUCUGCAAUUUCUCCAGGACAGACUUGAAGACUAUUGCAGUGGCCCCAUCUCUGAGGAAGGAAGGAACUAAUUGCAAAAGGAUUUUAAAAAGAAAGAUUGUAACUAGCCCCAAACAGUGAAAUGGAUUUUACUUCCUCUGCUCUGAUAAAUAUUUAAUUAUCAAAUGUAA
Molecule: long non-coding RNA, 1488 nt
Organism: Anas platyrhynchos (mallard)
Lineage: Eukaryota; Metazoa; Chordata; Aves; Anseriformes; Anatidae
Source: RefSeq, a predicted model, not a curated record